RNAcentral lists this ribosomal RNA (440 nucleotides) under uncultured bacterium. Its description in RNAcentral is "partial 16S ribosomal RNA". It matches the Rfam family "Bacterial small subunit ribosomal RNA", at positions 338 to 795 of the family's 1533-position model. The record is from RNAcentral.
CCUACGGGUGGCAGCAGUGGGGAAUAUUGCACAAUGGGGGAAACCCUGAUGCAGCGACGCCGCGUGAGUGAAGAAGUAAUUCGUUAUGUAAAGCUCUAUCAGCAGGGAAGAAAAUGACGGUACCUGUGCCAGAAGCCCCGGCUAACUACGUGCCAGUAGCCGCGGUAACAAGUAUGGGGCAAGCGUUAUCCGGAUUUACUGGGUGUAAAGGGAGCGUAGACGGGGUGGCAAGUCUGGAGUGAAAUGCCGCGGCUCAACUGCGGAACUGCAUUGGAAACUGGCGGACUAGAGUGCGGGAGGGGUAAGCGGAAUUCCUGGUGUAGCGGUGAAAUGCGUAGAUAUUAGGAGGAACACCAGUGGCGAAGGCGGCUUACUGGACCGUAACUGACGUUGAGGCUCGAAGGCGUGGGGAGCAAACAGGAUUAGAUACCCCAGUAGUC